This 1742-nucleotide long non-coding RNA is filed under the name Sorghum bicolor (sorghum). Its description in RNAcentral is "long non-coding RNA (SBIC_LNC004995)". The record is from RNAcentral. Lineage: Eukaryota; Viridiplantae; Streptophyta; Magnoliopsida; Poales; Poaceae.
CCGAAGGGCAAGGAGCGGGGCUCGCUGCGCGCGGCGACUAGCUCGGUCCUCGGCGAGAUUCAAAAGGCGAAGAUGAAGGCGGCUAGGGCUCGAUUUUUGCGACUUGAUGCAAACGGAAGCUGCGGCUUUUGAGGGGGAACUUUAUAGGGGCUUGAUUUUACGAAAAAGGCAAGGAAUCACGAAUCCGGGAUUGAAAUCGGCCGGCGGUCGUCGUGUCCCGUUCGGACUCAAGAAGGAAGAAGAAGGCGGUCGCUCACAAGUGGGUCCCGGGUGUCAGUGAGGAGAAAGGGAGAGAGGGGGCGCAGGGGGGAAAAAACAGGCAGGCCAGGGAGGGAGUGGGCCUCGGCCCGCAGGCCACCAGGCCGAGGGGAGGGCUGGCCGGGGUUUUGUUUUGUUUCUUUUUUUUUCUUUUUCUUUUCUGUUUUCUUUUUCCAAAACAUUUUCCAAAUAGAGUUUUGUAUGCAAAAUAGAUUCAAACCAGAGGCAAACAAUACAAAAUAAAAUAUUCUUCAUCAUGAAUGCAUAAACAAGUUUCUAAUCUUAUGAUAAAUUUUAAUUCUGACCAAAAAUUAUUUAAGUGCUAAAUUUAAAUAUGCACAAAAAUGCUUAAUUAACUCAAAUUAAUCCCUAUUAAUUUAAAACAGAUUUUUUGGGUGUUACAGCUAAGUAUGUUAAACUUAUUUUAGCAUAGAGAGUGACCCUUAGCUCUGUGUUACAACAAUGCCCUUGUCAUUAUUUGUAUACUCCUUCUGGUAUGUGUUGUCCACUAAUAAUUUGUAGGGAUAAAAUAAUAAGAAGAGCUAAAGGUCCAAGUACAAUAUAAAUGGAGAGCAAAUAAUGGCGUAAGAAAGGUGUACAACAAAGUUGACAAGCUGUCCAUGAACAAGGCACAUGACUAGCCAAGCAAGGGAAGCUUCAACAAGAUGUUAUGGCUUCAACAUGCUUCAAUACUAAAGGUAACAUCUCUUGGUAAGUGAUCUUUACUUCCAAAUUAUCCUCCUUGAUUUUGGCAUACAUAUAAGUAGAGAGCCAAACAUGUUUUGAGUUACAACCUUAUUUGAUCCAAUCUAAUUAGCUCAACAUGUUCAGUUCUUUAUGCUUGUUUCUAGAAUCACUUUCUUGAUCUUGUAGUUUUUAAUUGAAUGGUCUGAAAUAUUGCACAUCCUAUCUUUGGAAUAUGAUAGUCAUAAUCAUAAAGUUACAUGCAUAGAUAGACCAUCCUUCCAUAAUGUUAGGUAAUCUGAUUGGCCAAGUAUUUUAAUGCUACAAGCUUGCUAAUCAUUUGUUCCUGUCACCCAUGUUUAGAUUGAGCAAAACACAUAAACAUCAACUUUAUCUCGUUUAAUGUGCCAAAUGCUAGAGUAUAAUGAACAAACCUUUUGGUUCUAUUGGUCUUUUCCCACCAACAGAGCCCAUGCACUUGAUCUCUACCUUGUCUCUAUGAGUGGGAUACACUUUCAUCAACUCCCCGAGAAUCCUACAAGUGAAAAUCCUAGACCUAUGAACAUGCACGCUGAACGAAGAUGUUGCUAGCUCCCAGAACUAGUACUUGACUUCAAUCCGCUGGAAGAUUAAUAAACAUAGGUGACACCAUCUCAAGAGGUGCAACUAUCAUGGUCUUCACCUUUGGGACCAGAUAAAGCACCUAAGAAUUAACAUGGUAAGAGAUCCUGUUCGGAGGACAUAAAAUCACCGAACACCGCGCCAAGAGGUAACUUGGUAUUUAUCUGCAUUUUACUUUA